AGCGAACGUUUGCGGCGGGCUUAAUACAUGCAAGUCGAACGAGAAUCCCUUCGGGGAGGAAAGUGGCGCACGGGUGCGUAACACGUGGAUAACCAACCCAUUGGUUUGGGACAACACCGGGAAACUGGUGCUAAUACCAGAUGUGUCGCAGCUGUCUUCAGGCGGUUGCGAGAAAGGCCCGCAAGGGUCGCCAACGGACGGGUCCGCGUCCCAUCAGCUAGUUGGUGAGGUAAUGGCUCACCAAGGCAAAGACGGGUAGCUGGUCUGAGAGGAUGAUCAGCCACACUGGAACUGAGACACGGUCCAGACUCCUACGGGAGGCAGCAGUGGGGAAUAUUGCGCAAUGGGCGAAAGCCUGACGCAGCCACGCCGCGUGAGCGAUGAAGGUCUUCGGAUCGUAAAGCUCUGUGGGGGGAGAAGAAGAAAGCCGGUGAAGAGCCGGCCCUGACGGUAUCCCCUUAGCAAGCACCGGCUAACUCCGUGCCAGCAGCCGCGGUAAAGUAU
Molecule: ribosomal RNA, 504 nt
Filed under: uncultured bacterium
Lineage: Bacteria
Description: bacterial SSU rRNA
Rfam family: Bacterial small subunit ribosomal RNA
Source: RNAcentral